AGAGUUUGAUCAUGGCUCAGAAUCAACGCUGGCGGCGUGCCUAACACAUGCAAGUCGAACGAGAUAGUGACUUCGGUCACUGGAAAGUGGCGUCCGGGUGAGUAACACGUGGGUAAUCUACCCUCGGGUGGGGAAUAACGGAUCGAAAGAUUCGCUAAUACCGCAUAAUGCAGCGGCACCUAAUGGUGAAUAGUUGUUAAAGCGGGGGAUCGCAAGACCUCGCGCCUGAAGAGGAGCCUGCGGCAGAUUAGCUAGUUGGUGAGGUAAUGGCUCACCAAGGCUUCGAUCUGUAGCUGGUCUGAGAGGACGGCCAGCCACACUGGCACUGACACACGGGCCAGACUCCUACGGGAGGCAGCAGUGGGGAAUUUUGGGCAAUGGGCGAAAGCCUGACCCAGCAACGCCGCGUGAGGGAGGAAAUCCUUCGGGAUGUAAACCUCGCAAGCAAGGGAAGACAGCUAGAGAUUUAAUAAAUCUCUAGUCCGACGGUACCUGCG
RNAcentral lists this ribosomal RNA (497 nucleotides) under uncultured Acidobacteriaceae bacterium. Its description in RNAcentral is "bacterial SSU rRNA". It matches the Rfam family "Bacterial small subunit ribosomal RNA", at positions 8 to 484 of the family's 1533-position model. The record is from RNAcentral. Lineage: Bacteria; Pseudomonadati; Acidobacteriota; Terriglobia; Terriglobales; Acidobacteriaceae.